Molecule: long non-coding RNA, 486 nt
Filed under: Brassica napus (rape)
Lineage: Eukaryota; Viridiplantae; Streptophyta; Magnoliopsida; Brassicales; Brassicaceae
Description: long non-coding RNA (BNAP_LNC022101)
Source: RNAcentral
AGCGAUAGGGAUUAUUAGUAAAGCGUGUUUGAGAAGUUUCCAAAUAAAUUCUCUUUAAUUGCUCGUUAUACUUAGCCGAAAAGGUCUUUUCAUACUUGUAACCGUUCUUGGUUAGUGACGAUUGAGUUCAUUUCUAUAGAUUUUACGUUCCCAUUGGCCGUUAUCAUGUAAUUAAUCUUUUUUUUUUCAUUUAUGAUGCUUUGAAGUUUGAAGUAAAUUGUAUAAGUGCGAAAUCAAUAGAGGUAUAUUUGAUAUAAUAUUCGAAAAAAUUUGAGUUUCAAUCUAAAUAAAUGUCAUUUUGAUAUUUUUCAAACAUAUUAAUAUUAAGAAAGUGACUAAAAUAUAUGUAAAUUAUUACUCCUUCCGUUUUUUAAUAUACGUCAUUUUAGAGAACUAGGGUCACUGCCUCCGCGCUUGCGCGGGGUUGUAGAUAGAGUUCUUGUUUCAUCUCAAUAUUUGCUAGGGUUAUUGUAAUUGUGAAUUUUG